This 29-nucleotide non-coding RNA is filed under the name Mus musculus (house mouse). The record is from RNAcentral. Lineage: Eukaryota; Metazoa; Chordata; Mammalia; Rodentia; Muridae.
UGCUUGGUGCUAAGACAAGGAAGUCUUGA